AAAAGGUGGCUAUGCUCCCGCUUUUGGAUGGGCCCGCGGCGCAUUAGCUAGUUGGUGGGGUAAAGGCUUACCAAGGCAAUGAUGCGUAGCCGAACUGAGAGGUUGAUCGGCCACAUUGGGACUGAGACACGGCCCAAACUCCUACGGGAGGCAGCAGUAGGGAAUCUUCCACAAUGGGCGAAAGCCUGAUGGAGCAACGCCGCGUGGGUGAAGAAGGUCUUCGGAUCGUAAAACCCUGUUGUUAGAGAAGAAAGUGCGUGAGAGUAACUGUUCACGUUUCGACGGUAUCUAACCAGAAAGCCACGGCUAACUACGUGCCAGCAGCCGCGGUAAUACGUAGGUGGCAAGCGUUAUCCGGAUUUAUUGGGCGUAAAGGGAACGCAGGCGGUCUUUUAAGUCUGAUGUGAAAGCCUUCGGCUUAACCGGAGUAGUGCAUUGGAAACUGGGAGACUUGAGUGCAGAAGAGGAGAGUGGAACUCCAUGUGUAGCGGUGAAAUGCGUAGAUAUAUGGAAGAACACCAGUGGCGAAAGCGGCUCUCUGGUCUGUAACUGACGCUGAGGUUCGAAAGCGUGGGUAGCAAACAGGAUUAGAUACCCUGGUAGUCCACGCCGUAAACGAUGAAUGCUAAGUGUUGGAGGGUUUCCGCCCUUCA
This 653-nucleotide ribosomal RNA is filed under the name uncultured bacterium. RNAcentral's name for it is "bacterial SSU rRNA". It matches the Rfam family "Bacterial small subunit ribosomal RNA", at positions 202 to 842 of the family's 1533-position model. The record is from RNAcentral.